This 484-nucleotide ribosomal RNA is filed under the name uncultured bacterium. RNAcentral's name for it is "partial 16S ribosomal RNA". It matches the Rfam family "Bacterial small subunit ribosomal RNA", at positions 30 to 507 of the family's 1533-position model. The record is from RNAcentral.
AUUGAACGCUGGCGGCAGGCCUAACACAUGCAAGUCGAGCGGAUGAAGGGAGCUUGCUCCUGGAUUCAGCGGCGGACGGGUGAGUAAUGCCUAGGAAUCUGCCUGGUAGUGGGGGAUAACGUCCGGAAACGGGCGCUAAUACCGCAUACGUCCUGAGGGAGAAAGUGGGGGAUCUUCGGACCUCACGCUAUCAGAUGAGCCUAGGUCGGAUUAGCUAGUUGGUGGGGUAAAGGCCUACCAAGGCGACGAUCCGUAACUGGUCUGAGAGGAUGGUCAGUCACACUGGAACUGAGACACGGUCCAGACUCCUACGGGAGGCAGCAGUGGGGAAUAUUGGACAAUAGGCGAAAGCCUGAUCCAGCCAUGCCGCGUGUGUGAAGAAGGUCUUCGGAUUGUAAAGCACUUUAAGUUGGGAGGAAGGGCAGUAAGUUAAUACCUUGCUGUUUUGACGUUACCAGCAGAAUAAGCACCGGCUAACUUCGUG